GUUUGAUCCUGGCUCAGAUUGAACGCUGGCGGCAGGCCUAACACAUGCAAGUCGAACGGUAACAGGAAACAGCUUGCUGUUUCGCUGACGAGUGGCGGACGGGUGAGUAAUGUCUGGGAAACUGCCUGAUGGAGGGGGAUAACUACUGGAAACGGUAGCUAAUACCGCAUAACGUCGCAAGACCAAAGAGGGGGACCUUCGGGCCUCUUGCCAUCGGAUGUGCCCAGAUGGGAUUAGCUAGUAGGUGGGGUAACGGCUCACCUAGGCGACGAUCCCUAGCUGGUCUGAGAGGAUGACCAGCCACACUGGAACUGAGACACGGUCCAGACUCCUACGGGAGGCAGCAGUGGGGAAUAUUGCACAAUGGGCGCAAGCCUGAUGCAGCCAUGCCGCGUGUAUGAAGAAGGCCUUCGGGUUGUAAAGUACUUUCAGCGGGGAGGAAGGGAGUAAAGUUAAUACCUUUGCUCAUUGACGUUACCCGCAGAAGAAGCACCGGCUAACUACGUGCCAGCAGCCGCGGUAAUACGUAGGUGGCAAGCGUUGUCCGGAUUUGUUGGGCGUAAAGCGAGCGCAGGCGGUUUCUUAAGUCUGAUGUGAAAGCCCCCGGCUCAACCGGGGAGGGUCAUUGGAAACUGGGAGACUUGAGUGCAGAAGAGGAGAGUGGAAUUCCAUGUGUAGCGGUGAAAUGCGUAGAUAUAUGGAGGAACACCAGUGGCGAAGGCGGCUCUCUGGUCUGUAACUGACGCUGAGGCUCGAAAGCGUGGGGAGCAAACAGGAUUAGAUACCCUGGUAGUCCACGCCGUAAACGAUGAGUGCUAAGUGUUGGAGGGUUUCCGCCCUUCAGUGCUGCAGCAAACGCAUUAAGCACUCCGCCUGGGGAGUACGACCGCAAGGUUGAAACUCAAAGGAAUUGACGGGGGCCCGCACAAGCGGUGGAGCAUGUGGUUUAAUUCGAAGCAACGCGAAGAACCUUACCAGGUCUUGACAUCCUUUGACCACUCUAGAGAUAGAGCUUUCCCUUCGGGGACAAAGUGACAGGUGGUGCAUGGUUGUCGUCAGCUCGUGUCGUGAGAUGUUGGGUUAAGUCCCGCAACGAGCGCAACCCUUAUUGUUAGUUGCCAUCAUUUAGUUGGGCACUCUAGCGAGACUGCCGGUGACAAACCGGAGGAAGGUGGGGAUGACGUCAAAUCAUCAUGCCCCUUGUGACCUGGGCUACACACGUGCUACAAUGGGAAGUACAACGAGUCGCUAGACCGCGAGGUCAUGCAAAUCUCUUAAAGCUUCUCUCAGUUCGGAUUGCAGGCUGCAACUCGCCUGCAUGAAGCCGGAAUCGCUAGUAAUCGUGGAUCAGAAUGCCACGGUGAAUACGUUCCCGGGCCUUGUACACACCGCCCGUCACACCAUGGGAGUGGGUUGCAAAAGAAGUAGGUAGCUUAACCUUCGGGAGGGCGCUUACCACUUUGUGAUUCAUGACUGGGGUGAAGUCGUAACAAGGUAACC
This 1500-nucleotide ribosomal RNA is filed under the name uncultured bacterium. RNAcentral's name for it is "partial 16S ribosomal RNA". It matches the Rfam family "Bacterial small subunit ribosomal RNA". The record is from RNAcentral.